RNAcentral lists this unclassified non-coding RNA (365 nucleotides) under soil metagenome. RNAcentral describes it as "partial contains 5.8S ribosomal RNA, internal transcribed spacer 2, and large subunit ribosomal RNA". The stretch from base 1 to 120 matches the Rfam family "5.8S ribosomal RNA", at positions 35 to 154 of the family's 154-position model. The record is from RNAcentral.
GAUGAAGAACGCAGCGAAAUGCGAUAAGUAAUGUGAAUUGCAGAAUUCAGUGAACCAUCGAAUCUUUGAACGCACAUUGCGCCCGCCAGUAUUCUGGCGGGCAUGCCUGUCCGAGCGUCAUCUCAACCCUCGAGCCCCCCCGGGGGCUCGGCGUUGGGGACCGGCCCCGCCCCAGGGCGCGCCGCCCCCCAAAUCCAGUGGCGGUCCCGCCGCAGCCUCCCCUGCGCAGUAGCUUGCAUACUCGCACCGGAGAGCGGCGCGGCCACGCCGUAAAACCCCCCGACCACGGAGCCCCGGCUCCUGAACGUUGACCUCGGAUCAGGUAGGAAUACCCGCUGAACUUAAGCAUAUCAAUAAGCGGAGGA